This 456-nucleotide unclassified non-coding RNA is filed under the name Mostuea hirsuta. Its description in RNAcentral is "partial external transcribed spacer". Lineage: Eukaryota; Viridiplantae; Streptophyta; Magnoliopsida; Gentianales; Loganiaceae. The record is from RNAcentral.
GGUAUGUUGGAUCCCUGCUUACGCAGCGACAUCCCGCCAUUCACGGCUUUUCAUUAUUAGGUCCAAGAGCACAAUUUGCUUUGGCCGCGAGACGGUUUCCUGUGUUGCAUACCUAUUGUGAUGGCAUUCUUUAGUCUCGAUCGUCCCUCGUUCACCUUGUGUUGACCCGAAAGGGCCGCACGCAAUGUGAAACUCGAAGCGCUUGUCGUGUCCCAAUCCACGGAUGCAUUUGCGUGCCAUGGCAUCGGUUCUCGUCAAGUUGCUCGAACUCUCGGAAAUGGAAUGCAUUUCGGGUAGGGGUCAUUGACCCUCCUUUACCCAAAAAGCAAGCGUUCAUCGCUAACCAGCGAACGAUCGCCGUGCUCACCCAGGGCGGCCGGUUCUAGUCUUUUAGSACCCGUCUGGCACGUGGGGGGUGCCGGCGUCGGUGAGGAAUGCUACCUGGUUGAUCCUGCA